Long non-coding RNA from Quercus robur (English oak), 434 nucleotides. RefSeq lists it as uncharacterized. NCBI's taxonomy places the organism in Eukaryota, Viridiplantae, Streptophyta, Magnoliopsida, Fagales, Fagaceae. The record is from RefSeq and is a predicted model, not a curated record. The transcript has 2 exons.
AAAACAAAAAAAAAAACAUGGAGGCUGUGUAUUCACUAUUCAUUCCAAAGUUGAUAGAUUAUAAUCUUUUAUGCUUUGAUCCUAUAUGAUGGUCGUUAGUGCUUAUUCAAGGCUAGGCAUGAUGCAGUUAAAGAUGAGUUUGCUGUGUGUCAACUCAAGAAGAAGGAAUACCAUAUGAUCAAAAAUCUUGAUCACAGUCAGGUUUGAGAAGGAAAAAUUGGAAUAUACAAGAAGACUUCAGGGGUGGUAAACUGGUUUCAUUACAUUGAAAUGGAAGUAGAGUGAGCAGUCUGAUAAAGGAAAUAUAUUCCUUGCAUGUUAUGAUCCUAUAUAGUUUGAGAGUUAUUCAUAUCUAGUUUUGUGGCCAAACUUGGUUUUUUCCUGUGUUUCUAUGUAGUUUUUCUAUAUAACUAGUAAGUUUUUUAUUCUCUAAA